UACGGAAGGGGCAAGCAUUGUUCGGAAUCAUUGGGCGUAAAGGGCGCGUAGGCGGCCCGGUAAGUCCGCUGUGAAAGUCAAAGGCUCAACCUUUGAAUGUCAGCGGAUACUGCCGGGCUAGAGUCCGGAAGAGGCGAGUGGAAUUCCUGGUGUAGCGGUGUAAUGCGCAGAUAUCAGGAGGAACACCAACGGCGAAGGCAGCUCGCUGGGACGGUACUGACGCUGAGGCGCGAAAGCGUGGGGAGCGAACAGG
This 253-nucleotide ribosomal RNA is filed under the name uncultured bacterium. Its description in RNAcentral is "partial 16S ribosomal RNA". It matches the Rfam family "Bacterial small subunit ribosomal RNA", at positions 524 to 776 of the family's 1533-position model. The record is from RNAcentral.